ACUCGAGUGGCGAACGGGUGAGUAACACGUGGGUGAUCUGCCCUGCACUUCGGGAUAAGCUUGGGAAACUGGGUCUAAUACCGGAUAGGAGCCAUCUUUAGUGUGGUGGUUGGAAAGUUUUUCGGUGUAGGAUGAGCUCGCGGCCUAUCAGCUUGUUGGUGGGGUAAUGGCCUACCAAGGCGGCGACGGGUAGCCGGCCUGAGAGGGUGUACGGCCACAUUGGGACUGAGACACGGCCCAG
This 241-nucleotide ribosomal RNA is filed under the name uncultured Actinomycetales bacterium. Its description in RNAcentral is "partial 16S ribosomal RNA". It matches the Rfam family "Bacterial small subunit ribosomal RNA", at positions 89 to 334 of the family's 1533-position model. The record is from RNAcentral. Lineage: Bacteria; Bacillati; Actinomycetota; Actinomycetes; Actinomycetales.